This is a long non-coding RNA of Cydia pomonella (codling moth), 1304 nucleotides long. RefSeq lists it as uncharacterized. NCBI's taxonomy places the organism in Eukaryota, Metazoa, Arthropoda, Insecta, Lepidoptera, Tortricidae. The record is from RefSeq and is a predicted model, not a curated record. The transcript has 4 exons.
UUUUGUUUUGUUUAGCUCUUUAUAACUUUAGUUUAUUUAGGAAAUGUAACAUAAUAAUAUAGGUACAUUUCAUUAUUAAGUGAAUAUUAUUUGGCAAAUAGUUGUAAAUAAUGAAGUUGAAACUGGUAUUUGUUAGCUGAGGCACGCAGACUUUCUCCUCUUCGCACGAGUGAGGUCCACAUCUCCCAGAGUCGCGUUGCCGAUGUUCAAUUUAUGAAGAUUGCGUCGAGUGGAGCACGUAUGGCUUUGUAUGAUUGAUUCCACUUGAUUGAUUACUAAAACAUAAACCAAGUUUAUGACGAAACAUAUGCAAGGAUAGGGGAUUUUAAGGUCUAACUGUUAAAAUGGCGCCGUCGAUUGGACAGAAACGGCUUUGGACAGAGAAGCAUGGCGGUCUUUGGUGUCGGAGGCCAAGAUCCACUUCGGGUCGCUGCGCCACAGCAGUAAGUAAGUAAGUAUAUUAUAAUUGUUCGUAAGGAGUAAGGAGUAACUCCAGUCGUGCUUUGGAGUUGACAUAAACAUAUUUUAUUUAAUGCGUAAAUUAAAGUUAGUUUUCGAUAAACGCAACAGAUAAGAUCACGCGAUAACUUUACUACAUAUUAAGUGUAAUAAUAAGUAUAAAUAGUGUUAGGUGGUUUUAAUUUUGUUCGUAUUAGGCAAAGUUCUCUCCGAUGGUUGAUUCCUCACUUCAAACAAUUUUUAUAAGUACUACUAUUCAAUAGCCAGAGACAGUGAAUAGAUAGUGCAUCACGUUACCUAACAGUUCCUUAACCUACAUGACAUGACACUGAUAACGCAACUCGAGUUUAUGUUCGUGGACCGGCAGGGUGUAAUUUAUGAUUAAAGAGAGUAUUCUGUACACCCUUUGUAUGCAUGUGCACUAUGUGCAGCCUCGUCAAGUAAUAAUACGUUUUAGUUAAGUUUCGUACAAGUAUCUUAAUACUGUAAAUAGCUGCUGUAGGUCGUGUCCUUGUAUUUUACUAAGCUUUACAACUUCCAAUCCAAUCGAUUUACAUUUUUUUCGGAGUCGUUAAAAGGUUAUCAUUUCAGCGAACGGUCUCAUAGCGAAGAGUUUCGACCAAUACCUUGAGAGACUCUCGCUAGGUGGUUGGAUCAAGGGUCAGAUGCAGAAGGCGGUGACCUUGGACACGGCGCGGAUAGUCCGGCGGCUCCUCUCUCUGCAGCCCUGACCACCGGCAGCUUAGGCCCUGCCCCGCUGCUGGCGGCACCCUAGUUUAGGUUUUUUAUAAUGUGUAUAAGUAUAUCUUUUGUAUUGUUUUAUAAGUGUUUUUAUAUUUUACUUA